Molecule: ribosomal RNA, 216 nt
Filed under: uncultured bacterium
Lineage: Bacteria
Description: partial 16S ribosomal RNA
Rfam family: Bacterial small subunit ribosomal RNA
Source: RNAcentral
CGGGGGACGAACAAUUCCAAAGGGAAGUGCUAAUACCGGAUGUGACGCUCCUAUCGCAUGACGGGAGCGUGAAAGAUGGCCUCUACAUGUAAGCUAUCGCUAAAGGAUGGGCCUGCGGCUGAUUAGCUAGUUGGUAGUGUAACGGACAACCAAGGCGAUGAUCAGUAGCCGGUCUGAGAGGAUGAACGGCCACAUUGGGACUGAGACACGGCCCAG